Phrynosoma platyrhinos (Desert horned lizard) is the source of this 72-nucleotide non-coding RNA. The record is from the annotation of a GenBank genome assembly. Lineage: Eukaryota; Metazoa; Chordata; Lepidosauria; Squamata; Phrynosomatidae.
GCCAGCAUGGUGUAGUGGUUUGAAGGUUAGACUAUGAAUCUGGAGAUCAGGGUUUGAAUCCCUACUCAGUAA